Molecule: long non-coding RNA, 398 nt
Organism: Exaiptasia diaphana
Lineage: Eukaryota; Metazoa; Cnidaria; Anthozoa; Actiniaria; Aiptasiidae
Exons: 2
Source: RefSeq, a predicted model, not a curated record
AUGAACAAGACCCGGCCACAACACUUUUUAUCUACCCAGCGAUACACAGCCUUACACAGCGAUACACAGCCUUGUAUAUAUUAGGAGGCMAGAGACCUUUAUGGAGUCAUGCUGGUAACGUUGAAGUCUAAAAAUGGCUCAUAAAUGGAGAGAAUUAUUUGCUCAAGCCGGAGAUGGGAAAAGGACAGUAGGAGCAAGUUCUUCCCGCAAUCGACAUAACUUUUCGGGUUUCCCAUGUAAAACGCGUAUUGCUGUGCAAUCAUAAAGCUUUUUUAGAGAAAACUUAUAUGAUCAAUAAAAAAAAUUGCGAGACUAUGUCGCUCGGGCAAAGUAAAUAUAAAAAAGGCGUGUACAAAUAGCCUAAGGAUGCAGGCGAGUCAAUAAAAACAAUAACUGAU